RNAcentral lists this ribosomal RNA (687 nucleotides) under uncultured Lachnospiraceae bacterium. RNAcentral describes it as "bacterial SSU rRNA". It matches the Rfam family "Bacterial small subunit ribosomal RNA", at positions 50 to 741 of the family's 1533-position model. The record is from RNAcentral. Lineage: Bacteria; Bacillati; Bacillota; Clostridia; Lachnospirales; Lachnospiraceae.
AACACAUGCAGUCGAACGAAGCGAUUAGGAUGAAGUUUCGGAUGGAUCCUGGUUGACUGAGUGGCGGACGGGUGAGUAACGCGUGGAUAACCUGCCUCACACUGGGGGAUAACAGUUAGAAAUGGCUGCUAAUACCGCAUAAGCGCACAGUACCGCAUGGUACGGUGUGAAAAACCCAGGUGGUGUGAGAUGGAUCCGCGUCUGAUUAGCCAGUUGGCGGGGUAACGGCCCACCAAAGCGACGAUCAGUAGCCGACCUGAGAGGGUGACCGGCCACAUUGGGACUGAGACACGGCCCAAACUCCUACGGGAGGCAGCAGUGGGGAAUAUUGCACAAUGGGCGCAAGCCUGAUGCAGCGACGCCGCGUGAGUGAAGAAGUAUCUCGGUAUGUAAAGCUCUAUCAGCAGGGAAGAAAAUGACGGUACCUGACUAAGAAGCCCCGGCUAACUACGUGCCAGCAGCCGCGGUAAUACGUAGGGGGCAAGCGUUAUCCGGAUUUACUGGGUGUAAAGGGAGCGUAGACGGCGACGCAAGUCUGGAGUGAAAGCCCGGGGCCCAACCCCGGGACUGCUUUGGAAACUGUGCUGCUGGAGUGCAGGAGAGGUAAGUGGAAUUCCUAGUGUAGCGGUGAAAUGCGUAGAUAUUAGGAGGACACCAGUGGCGAAGGCGGCUUACUGGACUGUAACU